ACCUUGAUCUGCUUCCCGACUCAACAGAACCUAGUAAAGAAAAAUGCAGUAGCAUGAAGCAGAGAGCUUGGGGUUCCGCAAGCUCUCCCCCGCUUCUACUGCAGCCCCACUCGUACUCACAGAGAAAAGGCACCUCUGAUCUUAACCUGUAGAUAGUCCAAACUGCUAAGACAAACCCAGGGCUCAGGGCAGUGACAAGAAAUGGAGAACCCAGAAAAAAAAAUAACAAAUAAGAUAAGGGUAAAAAAGAAAAAAAAAAAAAAAGAAAUGAGGACACCAGGCAAGGAGGCGAAAAGCUCACCAACUGAAGCCGUGGAAGUGACUGAAAGCUGCCUCUUUUGUCGUAUGCCAGUCAGCAUUUCUC
RNAcentral lists this long non-coding RNA (364 nucleotides) under Homo sapiens (human). RNAcentral's name for it is "non-protein coding lnc-RAP1GDS1-2:3". Lineage: Eukaryota; Metazoa; Chordata; Mammalia; Primates; Hominidae. The record is from RNAcentral.